GCUCCAGUAACUCAGUUGGUAGAGUAGCGGCCUUUUAAGCCGUCUGUCGGGUGUUCGAGCCACCUCUGGGGCACCA
This 76-nucleotide transfer RNA is filed under the name Bacteriophage sp. RNAcentral describes it as "tRNA-Lys". It matches the Rfam family "tRNA". From Rfam's summary of the family: Transfer RNA (tRNA) molecules are approximately 80 nucleotides in length. Their secondary structure includes four short double-helical elements and three loops (D, anti-codon, and T loops). The record is from RNAcentral.